GAAGCCCCCUUCAAGAUGAGACUUCCCAUAGCGCAAGCUAGUAAGACCCCUCAUAGACGAUGAGGUUGAUAGGUUCGGUGUGGAAGUGCAGUAAUGCAUGGAGCUGACGAAUACUAAUCGGUCGAGGGCUUAUCCAC
Molecule: ribosomal RNA, 137 nt
Filed under: Brevibacillus laterosporus
Lineage: Bacteria; Bacillati; Bacillota; Bacilli; Caryophanales; Paenibacillaceae
Description: partial 23S ribosomal RNA
Rfam family: Bacterial large subunit ribosomal RNA
Source: RNAcentral